Molecule: ribosomal RNA, 496 nt
Filed under: uncultured bacterium
Lineage: Bacteria
Description: partial 16S ribosomal RNA
Rfam family: Bacterial small subunit ribosomal RNA
Source: RNAcentral
AUGAACGCUGGCGGCGUGCCUAAUACAUGCAAGUCGCGCGAACAGACGAGGAGCUUGCUCCUCUGACGUUAGCGGCGGACGGGUGAGUAACACGUGGAUAACCUACCUAUAAGACUGGGAUAACUUCGGGAAACCGGAGCUAAUACCGGAUAAUAUAUUGAACCGCAUGGUUCAAUAGUGAAAGACGGUUUUGCUGUCACUUAUAGAUGGAUCCGCGCCGCAUUAGCUAGUUGGUAAGGUAACGGCUUACCAAGGCGACGAUGCGUAGCCGACCUGAGAGGGUGAUCGGCCACACUGGAACUGAGACACGGUCCAGACUCCUACGGGAGGCAGCAGUAGGGAAUCUUCCGCAAUGGGCGAAAGCCUGACGGAGCAACGCCGCGUGAGUGAUGAAGGUCUUCGGAUCGUAAAACUCUGUUAUUAGGGAAGAACAUAUGUGUAAGUAACUGUGCACAUCUUGACGGUACCUAAUCAGAAGGCCACGGCUAACUACGUG